GGCAUGGUUGUCGUCAGCUCGUGUCGUGAGGUGUUGGGUUAAGUCCCGCAACGAGCGCAACCCUCGACCUUAGUUGCCAGCAUUCAGUUGGGCACUCUAAGGUGACUGCCGGCUAAAAAGUCGGAGGAAGGUGGGGAUGACGUCAAAUCAUCAUGCCCCUUAUGACCUGGGCUACACGCGUGCUACAAUGGGCGGUACAAAGGGUCGCGAACCCGCGAGGGGGAGCCAAUCCCAAAAAGCCGCUCUCAGUUCGGAUUGCAGGCUGCAACUCGCCUGCAUGAAGCCGGAAUCGCUAGUAAUCGCGGAUCAGCAUGCCGCGGUGAAUACGUUCCCGGGCCUU
Molecule: ribosomal RNA, 340 nt
Filed under: uncultured Anoxybacillus sp.
Lineage: Bacteria; Bacillati; Bacillota; Bacilli; Caryophanales; Anoxybacillaceae
Description: bacterial SSU rRNA
Rfam family: Bacterial small subunit ribosomal RNA
Source: RNAcentral